AAAUUGAAGAGUUUGAUCAUGGCUCAGAUUGAACGCUGGCGGCAGGCCUAACACAUGCAAGUCGAACGGUAACAGGAAGCAGCUUGCUGCUUCGCUGACGAGUGGCGGACGGGUGAGUAAUGUCUGGGAAACUGCCUGAUGGAGGGGGAUAACUACUGGAAACGGUAGCUAAUACCGCAUAACGUCGCAAGACCAAAGAGGGGGACCUUCGGGCCUCUUGCCAUCGGAUGUGCCCAGAUGGGAUUAGCUUGUUGGUGGGGUAACGGCUCACCAAGGCGACGAUCCCUAGCUGGUCUGAGAGGAUGACCAGCCACACUGGAACUGAGACACGGUCCAGACUCCUACGGGAGGCAGCAGUGGGGAAUAUUGCACAAUGGGCGCAAGCCUGAUGCAGCCAUGCCGCGUGUAUGAAGAAGGCCUUCGGGUUGUAAAGUACUUUCAGCGGGGAGGAAGGGAGUAAAGUUAAUAC
This 469-nucleotide ribosomal RNA is filed under the name Shigella sonnei. Its description in RNAcentral is "bacterial SSU rRNA". It matches the Rfam family "Bacterial small subunit ribosomal RNA", at positions 1 to 466 of the family's 1533-position model. The record is from RNAcentral. Lineage: Bacteria; Pseudomonadati; Pseudomonadota; Gammaproteobacteria; Enterobacterales; Enterobacteriaceae.